Molecule: ribosomal RNA, 433 nt
Filed under: uncultured bacterium
Lineage: Bacteria
Description: partial 16S ribosomal RNA
Rfam family: Bacterial small subunit ribosomal RNA
Source: RNAcentral
AACGAACGCUGGCGGCAGGCUUAACACAUGCAAGUCGAGCGCAUCCUUCGGGGUUAGCGGCGGACGGGUGAGUAACGCGUGGGAACGUGCCCUCUUCUACGGAAUAGCCUCGGGAAACUGAGAGUAAUGCCGUAUACGCCCGCACGGGGAAAGAUUUAUCAGAGGAGGAUCGGCCCGCGUUGGAUUAGGUAGUUGGUGGGGUAACGGCCUACCAAGCCGACGAUCCAUAGCUGGUUUGAGAGGAUGAUCAGCCACACUGGGACUGAGACACGGCCCAGACUCCUACGGGAGGCAGCAGUGGGGAAUCUUGGACAAUGGGGGCAACCCUGAUCCAGCCAUGCCGCGUGAUCGAUGAAGGCCUUAGGGUUGUAAAGAUCUUUCAGCUGGGAAGAUAAUGACGGUACCAGCAGAAGAAGCCCCGGCUAACUCCGUG